AUGGCCGGUCGGGUGGUCGCCCUGUCGGUGUAGGAGCUGGCAGGGAGGAAAGUCCGAGCAGGGUAGGGCACGGUGGUGGCUAACGGCCACCGGGGUAAACCCUAGGGAAAGUGCCACAGAGAACACACAGCCGAUGGCUGACCGCAAGGAAAGCUCAGGCAAUGGUGAAAAGGUGCGGUAAGAGCGCACCGCAGCGAUGGUGACAUCGCUGGCAUGGUAAACCCCACCGCCUGCAAGACCAAGUAGGCUGGCAUGGUCCGCCAUAGGUGGACCUAGCACCUGGCCCGGGUGGAUGCCAGCGGGUAGGUCGCUUGCCGUUGUGCGGCAGAGGCGGCUGGCAACAGCCGCCCAAGAGGAAUGACUACCGCCCUUGCUUGUUGCAGGGUACAGAACUCGGCUUAUAGACCGGCCAUCAUA
This 417-nucleotide RNase P RNA is filed under the name Sedimentisphaerales bacterium. RNAcentral's name for it is "RNase P RNA component class A". It matches the Rfam family "Bacterial RNase P class A". Rfam says of the family: Ribonuclease P (RNase P) is a ubiquitous endoribonuclease, found in archaea, bacteria and eukarya as well as chloroplasts and mitochondria. Its best characterised activity is the generation of mature 5'-ends of tRNAs by cleaving the 5'-leader elements of precursor-tRNAs. Lineage: Bacteria; Pseudomonadati; Planctomycetota; Phycisphaerae; Sedimentisphaerales. The record is from RNAcentral.